AGAGUACGUGAAACCGUUCAGGGGUAAACCUGAGAAACCCAAAAGAUCGAAUGGGGAGAUUCAUCGUCAACGGUGCUGGCUCCCGUUUGUGCGCGAUGCUCCGAGUGGGCCCUCGUGGUUCCAUGGCGAGGGCACGCCACUUUCGGCUUGAACGUUCCGGCACCGUAGUCGUGCACUUCUCCCCUAGUAGAACGUCGCGACCCGUUGCGUGUCGGUCUACGGCCCGAGCGGGCGCCUGUCGCGGCGCAUUACGCGCACGCGGCAGACCCUCGGUUGCCCGGCCGGCUGCGCGACGGUACUCACACGGUAUCGGGCCGCAACCAAUCCAUUCUCGAAUGUGUGUGCGUCAGGCCCGCCGCAAGCUAGGGCAGUUUUACCCGGAGGUACGGACCUGGUGCCGUCCCCGGGCCUGACCAGCUGUUAGCAGGCGGUGUCCUCGGACUGGCCAAGCUUCGAAUUACCGGUCGGCGACGCUCCUGCUUUGGGUACUCUCAGGACCCGUCUUGAAACACGGACCAAGGAGUCUAACAUGUGCGCGAGUCAUUGGGAUGCAUAAACCUAAAGGCGCAAUGAAAGUGAAGGUCGGCCUAUGCGUCGACCUAGGGAGGAUGGGCCGCGUUACGAUGCGGCCCCGCACUCCCGGGGCGUUUCGUUCUCAUUGCGAGAAGAGGCGCACCUAGAGCGUACACGUUGGGACCCGAAAGAUGGUGAACUAUGCCUGGUCAGGACGAAGUCAGGGGAAACCCUGAUGGAGGUCCGUAGCGAUUCUGACGUGCAAAUCGAUCGUCGGAACUGGGUAUAGGGGCGAAAGACUAAUCGAACCAUCUAGUAGCUGGUUCCCUCCGAAGUUUCCCUCAGGAUAGCUGGCACUCGCUCGUUCCUCCGUGAACGCGUGCGAGUCUCAUCUGGUAAAGCGAAUGAUUAGAGGCCUUGGGGCCGAAACGACCUCAACCUAUUCUCAAACUUUAAAUGGGUGAGAUCUCUGGCUUGCUUGGAUUAUGAAGCCACGAGAUUUUGGAUCAGAGUGCCAAGUGGGCCAAUUUUGGUAAGCAGAACUGGCGCUGUGGGAUGAACCAAACGCAGAGUUAAGGCGCCUAAGUCGACGCUUAUGGGAUACCAUGAAAGGCGUUGGUUGCUUAAGACAGCAGGACGGUGGCCAUGGAAGUCGGAAUCCGCUAAGGAGUGUGUAACAA
This 1193-nucleotide ribosomal RNA is filed under the name Mesonychium asteria. Its description in RNAcentral is "eukaryotic LSU rRNA". It matches the Rfam family "Eukaryotic large subunit ribosomal RNA", at positions 392 to 1288 of the family's 3401-position model. The record is from RNAcentral. Lineage: Eukaryota; Metazoa; Arthropoda; Insecta; Hymenoptera; Apidae.